AAGUCGUAACAAGGUUUCCGUAGGUGAACCUGCGGAAGGAUCAUUAUUGAAUGAAUCUAGAGUUGGUUGUUGCUGGCCUCUAGAGGCAUGUGCACACCUUCUCUUUCAUCCACACACACCUGUGCACUUGUGAGACGGAGGGCUGGAAUUUCUUUUUUAAAUUUCUAACCUUCCAUCUGCUACAUUACACAAACUCAAUUUAAUUUAAACCGAAUGUAAUUGAUGUAACGCAUCUAAUACUAACUUUCAACAAUGGAUCUCUUGGCUCCGGCAUCGAUGAAGAACGCAGCGAAAUGCGAUAGCUAAUAUGGAUUGCAGAAUUCAGUGAAUCAUCGAGUUUUUGAACGCACAUUGCGCCCUUUGGCAUUCCAAAGGGCAUGUCCGACCGAGCGUCGCAACGCCGCCCGAAUCCGGCCUCUGGCAGUGGAAUCGGUGUUGGGGCUUUGCGCGGGGCUCUUAGCAGCCCCGCGGCCCUGAAAUCCAGUGGCGGCUCCUCGGGGAACCCUCAGCACAGUAACAUGCCCUGCCGCUCUGGAACCUUGUGGGAGACCUGCCGUAAAACCUGUUCUCUCAGAACACAUUUACUGGUUGGCCUCGGGUCGGACAAGAUUACCCGCUGAACUUAA
This 626-nucleotide ribosomal RNA is filed under the name uncultured fungus. RNAcentral describes it as "eukaryotic LSU rRNA". The stretch from base 242 to 395 matches the Rfam family "5.8S ribosomal RNA". Lineage: Eukaryota; Fungi. The record is from RNAcentral.